This 449-nucleotide ribosomal RNA is filed under the name uncultured bacterium. Its description in RNAcentral is "partial 16S ribosomal RNA". It matches the Rfam family "Bacterial small subunit ribosomal RNA", at positions 29 to 523 of the family's 1533-position model. The record is from RNAcentral.
AACGAACGCUGGCGGCAGGCUUAACACAUGCAAGUCGAACGCAUCCUUCGGGGUGAGUGGCAGACGGGUGAGUAACGCGUGGGAACGUGCCCUUCAGUUCGGGAUAACCCAGGGAAACUUGGGCUAAUACCGGAUACGUGCGAGAGCAGAAAGAUUUAUCGCUGAAGGAUCGGCCCGCGUCUGAUUAGCUAGUUGGUGGGGUAAUGGCCCACCAAGGCGACGAUCAGUAGCUGGUCUGAGAGGAUGAGCAGCCACAUUGAGACUGAGACACGGCCCCAACUCCUACGGGAGGCAGCAGUGGGGAAUAUUGGACAAUGGGCGCAAGCCUGAUCCAGCCAUGCCGCGUGAGUGAUGAAGGCCUUAGGGUUGUAAAGCUCUUUCGUCCGGGACGAUAAUGACGGUACCGGAAGAAGAAGCCCCGGCUAACUUCGUGCCAGCCGCCACGGUAA